AUUUUGGUCACUGGGGGAAACCCUGAUCCACCCAUCCCGCGUGUAUGAUGAAGGUCUUUGGGUUGCAAAGUACUUAUGGCAGAGAAGAAAAGGUAUCUCCUAAUACGAGAUACUGCUGACGGUAUCUGCAGCAUAAGCACCGGCUAACUAAGUGCAAGCAGCCGCGGUAAUACGUAGGGCGCAAGCGUUAAUCGGAAUUACUUGGCGUAAAGCGUGUGUAGGCGGUUCGGAAAUAAAGAUGUGAAAUCCCAGGGCUCAACCUUGGAACUGCAUUUUUAACUGCCGAGCUAGAGUAUGUCAGGAGGGGGUAAAAUUCCACGUGUAGCAGUGAAAUGCGUAGAUAUGUGGAGGAAUACCGAUGGCGAAGGCAGCCCCCUGGGAUAAUACUGACGCUCAGACACGAAAGCGUGGGGAGCAAAC
RNAcentral lists this ribosomal RNA (420 nucleotides) under uncultured bacterium. Its description in RNAcentral is "partial 16S ribosomal RNA". It matches the Rfam family "Bacterial small subunit ribosomal RNA", at positions 361 to 773 of the family's 1533-position model. The record is from RNAcentral.